UUUAUGUCGAUUUAACCCAAAUUACCUUAAUCCGAAAAUGCUUCCUAAGUGAUACAUGAAGAGAGGUGGUCUUGUUUUGUCUAUAAUUCCUACUACUUGAUCAAGAAAACUUGUCAAACAAGAUCAAAUAACACACUCAAUGACAAACAUGAUUUAUUAAUCCGCACUCUAUUUAAGAUUAGAACAUAAGAAAACAGAAAAUGUAGAUUGUCACUGUUGCCGUUAAUAGAGCUAGUUCGCAAUAGAUAGUAAUAUAAAUAAGGAAAAGGAAAAAAAAUUAAGGGCCUAAGGUUAAAGAUGGGAUUAGGCGAAUAAAAAAACAAUAUGUCGUCAAGCGUCGCGUGAGCUCAGGCGCAGCACCGGCUUCGUAUAAGCCCCGAUAAUGCAAGAUAAAUUCUUGUGUAACUACCGAACCAUUUGAACAGUUAAAACAAUUACUAAUAUGCUUGAACAUUGAUUUUUUUUUGAGAAAAGGACAAAAGUCAGUUCGGCAACAUCGCAAAUUAAGGACAUGGUAUCAAAAUUAUAGGAAUUUAUAUAAAAGUCUAAUUGGUGGAACGAAGGAAUAUUCAAAUAGAUAAAAGUUGCAUAAAAAAACUUACCGUGGCCAAAGGGGUUCUUAAAUUUAUUUGAACUGCACAGGAACUUUUCUUUCCCAAAUUUACGCGAAUGGGGCCUUAUGUAAACUGUAAAUACGAUAUCAAUUAGAAUCUAAACUUACACGAGGAAACUAAGAUAAAGACUGACAAAAUUUAAAAUAUAACUUACUGAAAAACGUGAGGUGGGACCACGCUCUUGGCUGCGUGGUGUGACGAUACAAAUCCUUUACAAGAAAGAUUUGCGAUUAGGUUCCACAAAAAUUACUCAACAUGCGACGGACCGCAAUCAACAUCAGGUGUUUGGAAAACAAAUAGCCUCAAGAGCUGAUUUCAAAAAUCACAAAAGUUUUCCCAACACUACGACACACCCAAUCCACACAGCCAGAUACCGGAAGUAAUAAAGUGUAAAAUUUGCGCGGAUCCCCUCCUGAGUUUAAGCUAUCAAAAAAACUAUCCCUGACCCCUAUUGGUUGGAGUCUGACCAAUUAAAACUAAGUAAACUAUAGUAAACAAUUAUUAACCCUAAAAUCAAAUCUAAUAUGAUUUAUAACACAUUGAUUAAGUUCCCUGAACAUAAAUAAGUAGCUAAAUAUAUCAUUCCCGUGUAUAUUUCUUAGAAAUACCUUGAUGUAGAAAAGUGGUAACAUGGAAGAUUCAGCGCACACUCGAGCAACAACGCACCGCGCAGAAUCAGCACUGAAUUCGGCAGGUAGGUAGGUGGAGUUUCAGCCGGAAGACAAAGGACGAAAAGAAACGAAAUGGUCAAAUGUCAUCUACGAAUCUACAAAAAUAUGGAGCUAGGCAUGCACUUGGAUGGUUCUAAUACGAUUUCUCCCUAGGAUCUCGCGGCCGGCGACAGUUGUGGAUGAAUAAAUAUUAUUUACAAGACCUGGAUACGAACGCAUUAAGGCAAUACACAAUACACAACCUUGUAAUUAAGGUGACAGGACCCACAACGAUUCCUGUGAAAUAACCUGCAUUUGAAAUGAAUUAUAAAGAGAAAAUAUAAUGUAAUACACCAUUAAUAAAG
Long non-coding RNA from Anoplophora glabripennis (Asian longhorned beetle), 1629 nucleotides. RefSeq lists it as uncharacterized. The transcript has 3 exons. The record is from RefSeq and is a predicted model, not a curated record. Lineage: Eukaryota; Metazoa; Arthropoda; Insecta; Coleoptera; Cerambycidae.